GGGAUAAGCACGGUGGUGCGACCGGCAAGUCAUUGAUUGUUCUCAACCCGUAGCUGACUCUUAAUCAGCGGGUCCCAGGUUCGAGCCCUGGUGCGCCCACCA
RNAcentral lists this transfer RNA (102 nucleotides) under Bradyrhizobium cajani. Its description in RNAcentral is "tRNA-Ser". The record is from RNAcentral. Lineage: Bacteria; Pseudomonadati; Pseudomonadota; Alphaproteobacteria; Hyphomicrobiales; Nitrobacteraceae.